This 87-nucleotide transfer RNA is filed under the name bacterium. Its description in RNAcentral is "tRNA-Ser". It matches the Rfam family "tRNA". From Rfam's summary of the family: Transfer RNA (tRNA) molecules are approximately 80 nucleotides in length. Their secondary structure includes four short double-helical elements and three loops (D, anti-codon, and T loops). RNAcentral also lists the same sequence under 1 other name. The record is from RNAcentral.
GGAGGGAUGCGAGAGCGGACGAAUCGGCACGCCUGGAGAGCGUGUGUGGUCUUUCGGCCACCGUGGGUUCGAAUCCCACUCCCUCCG